GACGAACGCUGGCGGCGUGCUUAACACAUGCAAGUCGAACGAGCGGCGGACGGGUGAGUAAUGUAUGGGGACUGCCCGAUAGAGGGGGAUAACUACUGGAAACGGUGGCUAAUACCGCAUACUGUCGGAUAACCCAUAUGGGAGUAGCUAGUAGGUAAGGUAAUGGCUUACCUAGGCGACGAUCCCUAGCUGGUCUGAGAGGAUGAUCAGCCACACUGGGACUGAGACACGGCCCAGACUCCUACGGAGGCAGCAGUGGGGAAUAUUGCACAAUGGGCGCAAGCCUGAUGGAGCAACGCCGCGUGAGUGAUGACGGCCUUCGGGUUGUAAAGCUCUGUUAAUCGGGAGACGGUACCGGAAUAGAAAGCCACGGCUAACUACGUGCCAGCAGCCGCGGUAAUUC
This 403-nucleotide ribosomal RNA is filed under the name uncultured bacterium. RNAcentral's name for it is "partial 16S ribosomal RNA". It matches the Rfam family "Bacterial small subunit ribosomal RNA", at positions 28 to 526 of the family's 1533-position model. The record is from RNAcentral.